AGUGAACGCUGGCGGUAGGCCUGACACAUGCCAGUCGAACGGCAGCACAGUAAGAGCUUGCUCUUACGGGUGGCGAGUGGCGGACGGGUGAGGAAUACAUCGGAAUCUACUUUUUCGUGGGGGAUAACGUAGGGAAACUUACGCUAAUACCGCAUACGACCUACGGGUGAAAGCAGGGGAUCUUCGGACCUUGCGCGAUUGAAUGAGCCGAUGUCGGAUUAGCUAGUUGGCGGGGUAAAGGCCCACCAAGGCGACGAUCCGUAGCUGGUCUGAGAGGAUGAUCAGCCACACUGGAACUGAGACACGGUCCAGACUCCUACGGGAGGCAGCAGUGGGGAAUAUUGGACAAUGGGCGCAAGCCUGACCCAGCCAUACCGCGUGGGUGAAGAAGGCCUUCGGGUUGUAAAGCCCUUUUGUUGGGAAAGAAAAGCAGCAGGUUAAUACCCCGCUGUUCUGACGGUACCCAAAGAAUAAGCACCGGCUAACUUCGUG
Molecule: ribosomal RNA, 492 nt
Filed under: uncultured bacterium
Lineage: Bacteria
Description: partial 16S ribosomal RNA
Rfam family: Bacterial small subunit ribosomal RNA
Source: RNAcentral